AUGUACGCUGGCGGCGUGCCUAAUACAUGCAAGUCGAGCGAACAGACGAGGAGCUUGCUCCUCUGACGUUAGCGGCGGACGGGUGAGUAACACGUGGAUAACCUACCUAUAAGACUGGGAUAACUUCGGGAAACCGGAGCUAAUACCGGAUAAUAUAUUGAACCGCAUGGUUCAAUAGUGAAAGACGGUUUUGCUGUCACUUAUAGAUGGAUCCGCGCCGCAUUAGCUAGUUGGUAAGGUAACGGCUUACCAAGGCGACGAUGCGUAGCCGACCUGAGAGGGUGAUCGGCCACACUGGAACUGAGACACGGUCCAGACUCCUACGGGAGGCAGCAGUAGGGAAUCUUCCGCAAUGGGCGAAAGCCUGACGGAGCAACGCCGCGUGAGUGAUGAAGGUCUUCGGAUCGUAAAACUCUGUUAUUAGGGAAGAACAAAUGUGUAAGUAACUAUGCACGUCUUGACGGUACCUAAUCAGAAAGCCACGGCUAACUACGUG
This 496-nucleotide ribosomal RNA is filed under the name uncultured bacterium. RNAcentral's name for it is "partial 16S ribosomal RNA". It matches the Rfam family "Bacterial small subunit ribosomal RNA", at positions 29 to 507 of the family's 1533-position model. The record is from RNAcentral.